RNAcentral lists this ribosomal RNA (446 nucleotides) under uncultured soil bacterium. Its description in RNAcentral is "bacterial SSU rRNA". It matches the Rfam family "Bacterial small subunit ribosomal RNA", at positions 950 to 1384 of the family's 1533-position model. The record is from RNAcentral.
UUCGAUUAACGCGAAGACCCUUACUUGGGUUAGACACGGCGGACCGUCCUAGAAAUAGAUUUUCCCUUCGGGGACCGCCGGUUCAGGUGCUGCAUGGCUGUCGUCAGCUCGUGCCGUGAGGUGUUGGGUUAAGUCCCGCAACGAGCGCAACCCUCGUCCUUAGUUGCCACCAUUCAGUUGGGCACUCUAGGGGGACUGCCGGCGUUAAGCCGGAGGAAGGUGGGGACGACGUCAAGUCAUCAUGGCCCUUAUGUCCAGGGCCACACACGUGCUACAAUGGGCGGUACAAAGGGUCGCAAACCCGCGAGGGGGAGCCAAUCCCAAAAAGCCGCUCUCAGUUCGGAUUGGAGUCUGCAACUCGACUCCAUGAAGUUGGAAUCGCUAGUAAUCGCGGAUCAACACGCCGCGGUGAAUACGUUCCCGGGCCUUGUCACACCGAAUCACUA